CAGCAGUAGCCACGGUAAAACGGAGGGUGCAAGCGUUAUCCGGAUUCACUGGGUUUAAAGGGUGCGUAGGCGGGCAGGUAAGUCAGUGGUGAAAUCUUCGAGCUUAACUCGGAAACUGCCGUUGAUACUAUCUGUCUUGAAUAACGUUGAGGUGAGCGGAAUAUGUCAUGUAGCGGUGAAAUGCUUAGAUAUGACAUAGAACACCGAUUGCGAAGGCAGCUCACUAAACGCUCAUUGACGCUGAGGCACGAAAGCGUGGGGAUCAAACAGGAUUAGAUACCCCCGUAGUCCCUGUCUCUUAUAC
RNAcentral lists this ribosomal RNA (304 nucleotides) under uncultured bacterium. Its description in RNAcentral is "partial 16S ribosomal RNA". It matches the Rfam family "Bacterial small subunit ribosomal RNA", at positions 506 to 807 of the family's 1533-position model. The record is from RNAcentral.